RNAcentral lists this long non-coding RNA (348 nucleotides) under Lathyrus oleraceus (garden pea). Its description in RNAcentral is "Pisum sativum (pea) long non-coding RNA (PSAT_LNC005168)". Lineage: Eukaryota; Viridiplantae; Streptophyta; Magnoliopsida; Fabales; Fabaceae. The record is from RNAcentral.
AUCCUAAGUUUGGGGUUUUAUCAAAAUGUUGGAGACACCGAUGAAAGGUAGAUAAGUGCAAAAAGAAAGAAAAAAUUCAAAGAAAAAAAAAGAGAAAUGAAAAAAAUGUAUAUCAUGAGAAGUAUCAUGAAGCACUUAUCUAGAAGUAUUAAGGUUGGCAAAAAAAACAUGCUCAAAGAGCAAUAAAAGAAAAUAUAUGAGCCAAUGAAUCUCAACAAGAAUGGUGUCCAAAAGAAAUACCCCUGAUUUUUAGAUUGAACAACAGUUACGAGGGUAACAACAUGAACUCUGAGCCUAAACCCCUAGUGUUUUCGUUUUUGUGUUUUGACUCCCCACCUUACACCUUAG